ACGUUACCGUUUCGGUGGCUCGCGACCAGAGGCGGAGUGUGCCCGGAGCCUUCUGGGAAAUGUAGUUCAGCCUCCCCAGGGCCCCGGCCCAGCCGAAUGGCUCUGCCCUCUCGGGCCCCAGAACCAAGGCCUAGGUGGCGCGGGCGCGUGACGGGCCUGUUUGGAAGCCCGGGAAGUGGGGGCUGUUCUGCGCACGGCCAUGUGCAGGCCCAGGCCGCGAAAGUUUCUGAACUAUAAAGCAGCUCAUGAGGAGUUUCUCUGAAAUGUAACUCUCCCACAGCACGAGCGAGCCUCCUUGGGGACUUUUCCAGCCAAGAAUGAUCACAGCAAUGAGGGGCUCUAUGUCCUUGGCCCCCCGGGGCCCUCAAAAGCAGACAGCAUUCUAACAGUGACGGUGGAAUCCGAGCACCAUUCGUGGGGGGAGAGCCCUUGCUGCCAGGGAGUCAUCCUCCCAGCCGGGAGCUGGCCCGCUCACACUUCGGACAGUUCUACCGCCAGGAAAUUUGCGACCCCGUGAGGUUCUGAAAUGUCCCCAUGAGCUCUGCUACCAGUGGCUGAGGCUAGAGAGACGCAGCAAGUUGCCCAUCCUGGAGCUGCUGGUGCUGGAGCAGUUCCUGGCCAUCCUGCCCCAGGAGCUGCAGGGCUGGGGCUGGGAGCGCCCCUGGGCAGUGGAGAGGAGGUGGCGGUGACAGUGAGAACUCAGUGAACCCGGCCAGCAGAUGGUGACCUCAGGACUGAGCACAGGCAUUCAGCUCAGAUCAGGAACUUGCUGAAAGCAGACCCCACGGGUGACUCAGGCAGACUUCAGGGAAGCUCUACAGGUGCCAGAGCUGGGAGACACCUCAGAAUGUUCCAGUACCUGAGGCCAGCAUCAGGGAACCUCACAGAGGGGUGGCUGAGCAGCUGUCCUGCCCAAGAGAAAAGUUUCAAGCAGGAGAGAGAAGACAAGCCGUGAAGGUGACAAGUGACCAAACCUGCAGGCCAGGUCUUAGCUGACAUGUUACUUCUUCCCAGGAGUCAGUCUCAGCCCUGCAAGUCUGGGUUAUGCAAUUCUCCUUUGUGCUUCUGUGGGGCCCAAUACUUCCUCUUUCAAAACGCGGAGGCUGCUGCAUUGUCUGCCUCCUACAAUGGACGUUCUGCGAGGGCAGGGACCAUGUCAGUCUCACUCACUAGCAUCCCAGGCACUGAUGCACGCCGCCUGGCCCUCCACAGGCUCACUGAAGGUUUGCUAAGUGGGUGAAUGAAUGAGUGAAUGAAGGAAUGAAUGAGUGUGCCUUUCCUGUUCCCUGAAGUAGAGUCUACAAAAGCCAGUCCACUUCUCUCCUUCUGUCCCCUUUCCCUCCCAGUUCACCAGGGGCCUCUCAUUGUCCCCUAAAUCUCUGGAAACAUAGCCCAAGGAAUAGCGGAGCUAAUGGACCAGUUCCCUCCCUUGUGGUUGGGGGGAGACAGUGGGGUUUGGAGUGAGACAGACCGAGCUUCAAGCACCCUGCCACUUACUAGCUGUGCAGGUAUUUUCUUUAUUUACAAAGUGGAGAUAAUGGGUACCAGGCUGGCAGGGUUGCUCUGAGGAAUUGCACACUGGCCUGACACCUGGUGACAGCCAUCGCACCAGCAUUCUUACUCCCUUCCUUCCCAGCACUUGCUUCUAAGCCUCCUCCGAAACCUUGGGACACAGACACCCUUGCAGUCCCAAACGUGCUGCUGUCUUCCUGAUCCCCUUGUCUCUUCCCUGAGGUUGCCCAAGCCACUUGCUGCUGCCACCUCCUUCUUCCCUGUCCGUUAUCCCCAGCACAAAUAAUAGUGCCAUCUACAGAGUAGAGUAGAUGCUGAAAAGAUACUUGUUGAAUGAGUGAGUAAAUGAAUGAACCAGUCAGUCACAGCAGCCUCCCCUGCGGUGUGUUCACCAGUUGUCAAACGUGUAAGGUAGUCACCAGCCUGUUGAUGGGCGGGUGGCCUCCUGCCCAGUGGACAUCUCCCGUAACAGGUUGGGCACAUGUGAAGACACAAGGCCAAGACUUUACUGAAGAAAGAAGAAAGAGAAGGGGGGACAAUGAGGGAGCAUCGCGGCCCUGUGGAAAAGGAAAUUGCCAAGGGUGGUGGAGGCCAGACUCUUCUCUCUCUUUUUUUUUUUUUUUGUGAGGAAGAUCAGCCCUGAGCUAACAUCCAAUGCCAAUCCUCCUCUUUUUGCUGAGGAAGACUGGCCCUAGGCUAACAUCCGUGCCCAUCUUCCUCCACUUUACAUGGGACGCCACCACAGCAUGGCUUAACAAGCAGUGCGUCGGUGCGCACCCGGGAUCCAAACCCGAGAACCCCAGGCCACCGAAGCGGAUGCGCGCACUUAACCACUGUGCCACCGGGCCGGCCCCCAGACUCUUCUCUUGCGCACAGCAUUAGGUGCCCCUGCGAGUGGACCCCAGGGGUUACAGGUACACGACUGUGUCAUCGAGCAAACUCUCCCACAGGGGGUCUGCAUGCCCCACAGCCAAAGUCUGUCUGCCAUGACUGGUGCUAAAAGCACAAGUUCCAACAAGAUCGUUUUCUAGAUUCGCCCCUUUGUGGUGUUUGGCUCUUGUGUGAACAUGUGCCAUCACGUGUGCUCUGAGGCCCCUCUAACGGUCCUCCUCAGGCCCCACAUGCUCGCCUGUGUCUCAUGAGGUUGGAGCGCCCCCAAAAGCUCCCUCAGCGGCCCUCUCUCCAGUCGGAUCUUCGGGUGAUGAAUGGGGCUGAUUUCUCCUCAAAUGCUCACCACCCCCAAUUCAUUUGUCUGAAGGAUUCAGCCCCAGAACAGCUCGUCUGCUGUCAGGUGAGGCUCGUGCCAUCUUGUUGCCCUCCCUGCGGCGGAGAGCUCGUCCCCUGUGGUGCUCCAGAGGGUGCGCUCUGCCGUGGGCCAGCUUUAU
This is a long non-coding RNA of Diceros bicornis minor, 2897 nucleotides long. RefSeq lists it as uncharacterized. The transcript has 4 exons. Lineage: Eukaryota; Metazoa; Chordata; Mammalia; Perissodactyla; Rhinocerotidae. The record is from RefSeq and is a predicted model, not a curated record.